CGCUUGCCUGUGAUGAUAAUGGUCUCUGAAUUGCUAUUCUCUGCUGGAAGGUCGAUUUUGGUGUUGCUUUCUUCACGAAUCUACAGGGAGAGAGAUCACCAUGAGAAGCUGACUAGAGCUCUCCCAGAGUUGAGACACAGUUGAGCACAGGGCUAGAAGUAAGGAAGAGUCCCUCCUAGUCUAAAACCAAAAUGGUGCAGGGCUACAGAGGACAAGGCAAGAAGAAGCAAGAUGCAGCGGACAAGUUAUCACCUUUUUAAUGUUUGCGCCUCCUUUCCCAAUGAUAUUCUUGUGAAACUGUUUGAAG
RNAcentral lists this long non-coding RNA (307 nucleotides) under Homo sapiens (human). Its description in RNAcentral is "HSALNT0309828". The record is from RNAcentral. Lineage: Eukaryota; Metazoa; Chordata; Mammalia; Primates; Hominidae.